CACUGGCUGCGUGUAGCACCGCCAUCGCUGAUGAGGCUUCCACAUCUAAGUCCAGCAUGAGCGGCACAGAUGCUAAAAAGGGCACUGCCCAGAGGAAAAGAUCUACCAAGAAGAAGAGCAGAGCUGCUAAAACUAGCAAAACAGCAGGAAAGACAACUGAGAAAGCUGGUGUGAAGAACCAAGAAGAGAAGAAGGCCGACACAUCUAAAUCAAAUAAAGGGGUUGGUGGUUCUGAAGAGAAAAAGACACUAACUAGGCCCAAGAGAUCUUCGAAAGGAAAUGACUCUGCUCUAGCCAAGAGUCAAAUGAAGACCUCUACUGAUGGUUCUGGCAGUGAGAGGAAGCCACUUACACCUCUGUAUCCCCCCAAAGCUAAAUCAGUUGUUGUGGUUGAAUCAGCUACAAAAGCAAGAGUUAUUCAAAAAUACCUUGGGGACAUGUACGAAGUAGUGCCUAGCUAUGGCCACGUGAGAGAUCUAGCUGGAAGGGCAAGAUCUGUCCGCCCUGAGGACGACUUCACAAUGGUAUGGGAGGUGCCUGCUGCUGCCUGGACACACCUGAAGAGCAUCAGAGUAGCAUUGAAAGGGGCAAAAAAUUUGAUUCUUGCAUCUAACCCUGACCGUGAGGGUGAAGCAAUUUCUUGGCACAUAAAAGAAAUGCUUGAACAGCAGAACGCGUUGGGUUGCCAUGUUACUGUUUCACGAGUUGUCUUCCAUGAAAUUACAGAGGAUGCUAUUAAGAAAGCUUUAAUGUCUCCAAGAUAUAUUGAUAUGGACUUAGUCAAUGCUUAUCUUGCUCGCCGAUCCCUUGAUAAUUUGAUUGGGUUUGGCAUAUCACCACUUCUAUGGAGGAAGUUGCCUGGUUGUCAGUCAGCUGGACCAGUCCAAUCUGCAGCUUUGGCCCUUGUAUGUGAUCGAGAGACUGAAGUAGAACAGUUUCGCCCACAGGAAUAUUGGACUGUUGAUACUGACUUCAAAACCCAGUCUUCAAAAGGCCUAUACCUCACAUCCCGGAUAAAGCAUCUCAAUUCAAAAAAGUUGGAUCAACUUUCUAUAAGCUCUCAAGUAGAAGCACAAGCUAUAGAAAAGAGGAUUUAUUCUUGCCAAUUUGAAGUAAAAGGGGUUAAGAGAAGCAACAUUCACAAAAAUCCUCCAAUGCCAUAUAUAACAUCCAGCCUUCAGCAGGAUGCAGCAAACAAACUACAGUUUGCUGCAUGGUAUACUGUGGAGGUAGCCCAAAAGCUUUAUGAAGGGAUCAGUCUUUCUUCAGAACAAGCAACAGGCUUAAUAACGUACCUCAGAACAGAUGGGUAUCAUAUUUCUGAUGGAACGGCAAAAGAUAUUCGUUCAUUAGUAAAAGAAAGGUAUGGCGAGCAUUAUGCAACAGAGGAUUGCAGUAAGUACUUGAAGAGGGUGAAAAAUGCUCAAGAAGCCCAUGAAGCUAUAAGGCCCACCAACAUAAGGAGGUUGCCAUCAUCUUUGGUUGGAAUACUCGAUGAGGAUUGUUUAAAACUGUACACUCUGAUAUGGAGAAGAACAAUGGCUUGCCAAAUGGAAGCUUCAAGAACUGAGCUGAUCCAAGUUGAUAUUGGUAACCCUGAAGGAGACAUGACCUUUCAUUCAUCUGCAUCGAGGCUUGACUUCAAGGGCUACCAAGCCAUCUAUGAGGAUAUUGAUAAUCCUGAAGGAGAAGCUGCGCAUCAGGAUAAUUUUGAGGCCUUGUCCAAAUUAGAGAUCAAGGAUUUGGUUUCUCCAGUUAAUGUGCAUAUUGGGCAGCACUAUACUAAACCCCCGCCCCAUUAUUCUGAGGGUGCAUUGAUUAAAAAGCUGGAGGAACUUGGAAUUGGAAGGCCGUCUACAUACGCUUCUAUAAUGAGGGUGUUGCAGGACCGGAAAUACGUGACAAUUGAAAGUCGAGUUUUGCACCCUGAAUUCCGUGGUCGAAUGGUCUCAGCAUUUCUUUCGCAUCUUUUCUCUGAGAUCGCCGAUUACAGAUCUACCGCUAACAUGGAGGCUGAGAAAUUUCACAACUGAAAGUCUGGAGCUGAAAAUAACCCAGCUCUGAGAUACUAGCUACCGAAGACCUGUUUCAACAGGGGUUUUAGCUAGACAAUGUUUCUGCUGGGUCAACUGAAUGGAAGGGCCUCCUGAAGGAUUACUGGGAACGAUUCAACAAAUAUUGCAGAGAUGCUAGUCAAUGGGAUGUCAGAAAGGUAGAGAGAAUGCUCGAAGA
Molecule: non-coding RNA, 2232 nt
Organism: Lolium perenne
Lineage: Eukaryota; Viridiplantae; Streptophyta; Magnoliopsida; Poales; Poaceae
Source: RefSeq, a predicted model, not a curated record